UACGUAGGUGGCAAGCGUUGUUCGGAAUUACUGGGCGUAAAGCGCGCGUAGGCGGCUCUUCAAGUCAGGCGUGAAAGCCCCGAGCUUAACUCGGGAACUGCGCUUGAUACUGUCGAGCUAGAGUGUGGAAGGGGCGAUUGGAAUUCCGUGUGUAGCGGUGAAAUGCGUAGAUAUACGGAGGAACACCAGAGGCGAAGGCGGAUCGCUGGGCCAACACUGACGCUGAUGCGCGAAAGCUAGGGGAGCAAACGGG
Molecule: ribosomal RNA, 253 nt
Filed under: uncultured bacterium
Lineage: Bacteria
Description: partial 16S ribosomal RNA
Rfam family: Bacterial small subunit ribosomal RNA
Source: RNAcentral